This is a long non-coding RNA of Hyaena hyaena (striped hyena), 248 nucleotides long. RefSeq lists it as uncharacterized. Lineage: Eukaryota; Metazoa; Chordata; Mammalia; Carnivora; Hyaenidae. The record is from RefSeq and is a predicted model, not a curated record. The transcript is spliced from 3 exons.
CUCUCCUGCGAAAAAAAUUUGCCUGUUUUAGUUUAUUUUCCAGAGCUUUUUGGGAGUUUUUGCAGCGAGAACAGAAGAGGUGGAAUUUUCAUUUCCUCUAUUUCACAUCUGGCUUUGGAGACAUGAUGUAGCUCUCAAAAUUAGUAUUCUUUACAGUAGAAAAGGAUUGCUAUGAUCUUAAUCAGUGACUUUUUUGAAGAAUGAGAGAGUGAUGUCAAGCAGCUUUUGAAAUGAUUAUCAAGUGGACC